This 1320-nucleotide long non-coding RNA is filed under the name Scophthalmus maximus (turbot). Its description in RNAcentral is "lncRNA (ENSSMAG00000012798.2)". The record is from RNAcentral. Lineage: Eukaryota; Metazoa; Chordata; Actinopteri; Pleuronectiformes; Scophthalmidae.
AUGGCCAAUGCUUUUUACUCCCUCUACUCCCACGUGUCCCGCACCCCUCUCCAAAAACUGGCCCCACCAGAGUUCACCCUCACGUCGGACAUGGAGAGGAUCGAGCGCUUCAGGAGCAGUGUUCGCAGUGAGCCGCGUUCUCCGGUGGAGAGGCUGAAGGACACCGUCUCCAAGAUGUGCCUCUACACAGGCUCGCCUCGAGGGUCAGACUCCACCUCCCCGCAGCCGUCACCCAGGAAAAGGUCGAGCCUCCCUGAUAUUGUGGAUUCAGUCCUGGUGAAAGUCAAGACUGGGGCUGUCAAGAAACUGGAUUUGGAGGAAUGUAAUGGGAGCAGUUCAGCUGUGGAUGUUAGUCUGGUCACAGAUGAUUAUAGAGCCUGUAACAGUGGAGAAGAUGAGCAAACACAGGAGACUGUUGUGGCCACAGACAUUCAUCAGCAUGGAAAUAAAAUCUGUUGUCAGGAGAUGCAAAGCAGAAAACAAAGAGAUGAUGUUGAUGCUGAUGAAAACAGCGUGCAACCAUCAGACGAUGACAGAAGGACUCACGAUAUGAAAACAUCUCUGGCCUCGUCGUUAUCAGGGGAAACUGUGAUAGAAGCAGAUCAGCGGUUUUCUUCGCGUCAGGCAGAGCAGGACUCAUGUUCGACUCCAAGUCACACAAGGACAGAUGAGACAAAGCCCGUUGCCACGGUUACAUAUGAUCUAAUCUGCCCGCAGUUAGUCAACAGUGAACAUCAGACACCUCUCUGCUGUCAACACACGCACAGUCCGGAAACACAUACUGGGACACAGAGCACAGAUAAGCAACGUCCUGCAUCACAUGAACCCCCAGCACAAGCCUCUGUCUCUGGGCCUGGUGAGGACUCAUACACAGGUGACAUUACCUCUUCAGGACGGGCCGGACUGGUGGAUCCAUCCGGAUCACUUCCUGUCCUGGCCCCCAACGGCAGCUGUACCGAUUGCUGCAUCACUGUGACCGGCUCGGAGGGGGGCGAUCCCUCCGCCGGUUCCUUGAACACACCAGAUUCCAGUCAUGCUUCAACUGUCCCGCCUGUCCAGACACGCGGGGACUCAUCAAACGAGGGGAAAACCUGGUACCUGAAUCCCCCGACUCGCCAGGGCCUGGGGCACUUCUGCAAUAACGUGGGACAGGUUAACUCCUUUGAGCUGGAGGAGGUGCACAGUGCAGGGGAGGAAGAUUUUGGACAGUCAGACACUGCGAGGACAACAACCUCACCGUUGUCCACAGAACAUCAACACAAAGGUACGGAAUAUUUAUGCUUUCUGACAUUUUUUUUGCAUGAACCCAGGAAAUUAUAG